CCCUAGAGUCCGGGCUGCACGCGCGCUACACUGACAGAGACAACGAGUGGGGCCCCUUGUCCGAAAUGACUGGGUAAACUUGUGAAACUUUGUCGUGCUGGGGAUGGAGCUUUGUAAUUUUUGCUCUUCAACGAGGAAUUCCUAGUAAGCGCAAGUCAUCAGCUUGCGUUGACUACGUCCCUGCCCUUUGUACACACCGCCCGUCGCUACUACCGAUUGAAUGGCUUAGUGAGGACUUGGGAGAGUACAUCGGGGAGCCAGCAAUGGCACCCUGACGGCUCAAACUCUUACAAACUUGGUCAUUUAGAGGAAGUAAAAGUCGUAACAAGGUAUCUGUAGGUGAACCUGCAGAUGGAUCAUUUCGAUGAAAACCUUUUUUCUGAGGUGUGGCUCGCACCUGUCUAACUAAACUUGAGCUACCUUUUUCAACACGGUUGCAUCGGUGGAGUGGCGAACGCGCGUUCUUGGACGUGUGAGCUCGCCCUUCACACUUUACACAAACACUUUUGAUCUUCUAGGAUUUGAAUGACAAUUUAUGACUGGUAAUUCGGUCGUUUAAAUUUAAAAACAACUUUUGGCAACGGAUCUCUUGGUUCUCCCAUCGAUGAAGAACGCAGCGAAUUGCGAUAAGUAAUGUGAAUUGCAGAAGUGAAUCAUCGAAUCUUUGAACGCACCUUGCGCUCCCUGCAGAUCUAAUCUGGGGAGCAUGCCUGUUUGAGGGCCGCGAAUUGUUUCCAACCACUCUUUUUUUAAUUAAAAAGGGUUGGGCUCGGUAGUGAGGGUUUCUUUUUGCCAUUAACCGGGGCUCCCCCCGAAAUACAUUAACCGCCAUCCCUUUUGAUAGGCAAGAAACGGGACGAAAGCUCCACUUUU
This 873-nucleotide ribosomal RNA is filed under the name Ustilaginaceae sp. LM436. RNAcentral's name for it is "bacterial SSU rRNA". The stretch from base 1 to 362 matches the Rfam family "Eukaryotic small subunit ribosomal RNA", at positions 1471 to 1831 of the family's 1831-position model. The record is from RNAcentral. Lineage: Eukaryota; Fungi; Basidiomycota; Ustilaginomycetes; Ustilaginales; Ustilaginaceae.